RNAcentral lists this ribosomal RNA (253 nucleotides) under uncultured bacterium. RNAcentral describes it as "partial 16S ribosomal RNA". It matches the Rfam family "Bacterial small subunit ribosomal RNA", at positions 524 to 776 of the family's 1533-position model. The record is from RNAcentral.
GACGAACCGUCCUAACGUUGUUCGGAAUCACUGGGCUUAAAGGGCGCGUAGGCGGGUCGGCAAGUCCGGGGUGAAAUCUUUCGGCUCAACCGGAAAAUAGCCUUGGAUACUGCUGGUCUUGAGGGAGGUAGGGGCCUGUGGAACUUCCGGUGGAGCGGUGAAAUGCGUUGAUAUCGGAAGGAACGCCGGUGGCGAAAGCGACGGGCUGGACCUCUUCUGACGCUGAGGCGCGAAAGCUAGGGGAGCAAACGGG